RNAcentral lists this long non-coding RNA (1115 nucleotides) under Citrus maxima (pomelo). RNAcentral describes it as "long non-coding RNA (CMAX_LNC002952)". The record is from RNAcentral. Lineage: Eukaryota; Viridiplantae; Streptophyta; Magnoliopsida; Sapindales; Rutaceae.
GGGUAUUAACCCUCCGAAAUUGUUGUCAUUGAGUAGCAAUAACUCUAAUCUAGUAGCGUUGGUCAAAGAGCAGAGGAAGUUGAAAUCAUCGCGUCCCCCUCUUCCGAGAUGGUUCGUUGUAAUUACGAACUGAGAAAACCUUUGUAACUUUUCCAAAUGAGGCACUUCCCCAGUUAGUUUAUUUUCUGCUGCUAUAAAUUCUUCCAACUUGGAGGCAUUGUUUAUAGAAGGUGUGUGGGCUUGAGUGCAAUGAAUCGAAAACUCAGAGCCCCAAAACGGCUUCGUUUGGAUGAAAUGGUUUCAAUCACUUGUCACGUGCCGCACGAGACAUUUAAGUUUAAAGACGAAACGACUCAGCCCUCUGUCGUUUUGGAGAAACUUAAGUGGAGCACGUGAGCUAGCUUGUGAAGGAACGAGUCAAGUUUGUUAAAUCCCGUUACACACGUGUCCAGAUUCUGUGCAAUCUGGGUUUCAGCAUCAGGAGUAUAAAACUGGUUGUUGAGGGAGAAAGACGUGUGGUUCAGUGAGAGCUUGAGAGAGAGAUUCAGGAGUGAGAGAGGUUCUUCUUGUUGCUUGUAAUCUCUUGUUUAGAAGCUCUGUAUUUGUCUUCUUGAUUCUUCAAUAAAUCGUUUUCUGUGGUUUCUCCCGUGGAUGCAGAUUGUGCAUUUCAUGCACAAUCUAACCACGUAAGAUUAUGUUUCUUGUGUGUUUGUGAAGUGCUUCUUGGUUAGGUUAUACUCUUGAUAUUAAUCUUAGACCUAGGGCUAAUUGGAAUCUAUCUUAGAGUCUUGAUAUCAAAGCUUGGUUUCUUCUGCAACUUGUUUGAUCUUGGCUAGAGUCUCCUGGGCAGUGGUUUAUCAUCUUGAGUCUUAAGGGGUGUUAAAUCACUACAAGGUGGAAUAGCACCAGUAAAAUUGUUAAACGCAAUGCCGAAAUGCUGGAGAUUUGGGAGAGUGAAACCAAAGUCCAAGGGAAUAUUUCCUUGCAUUCGGUUUAAUACCACACUAAAGUUGUGAUGGAAGAGCGAUUAAAGAUUGAGGAAGGAAUAGUGCCAGACAACAUGUUUCCGCCUAAUGCCAGAAAGGAAAGAUUCUCCAGGUAGCCUAAAGUAUCAG